UUGGCGGCCAUGUUAGACCCACACACACACGGAGGCAGCCGCGGAGCCGGGAGGAUGAGGGGGGCGAGGGACCGAGCGAGAAGGAGAGGACUGGGCGGCUUGCCUAGGGCUUCCCGCCACUGAGGCCAAGUUCCUCAGGCCGGAUAGGGAGCGGGCCCGGUCCGGAACUCGGCGGGAUGAUCUUCUCACUUGAUCCCGGAGAUCCACGGAUUAGGGUAGGCCUCGUUUCCCUACGAGAGGCUGGAGCGGCCUGGUUCCAGGCCCUGUUGAUUCCUGGGUUCGGGACGGGAGUGGACCCGGAGGCCUCCUCCCUUAGGCAGGGAGAAGUGGGGGCGACUCAGUCCCCUUAGCGUCUCGAGACCGCCUCCGCCCUGGCUUGCCGCGCCUGCGGCCUCCGAUCUGCCCCGGCUCCUAGCGAGAUGUUUAUCUCCGCGGCUCCUGCUCCUCCCUCCCCCUCGGGAGGGUUCUGGGCCUUUCCAUGUAUUUUUUUUUUUAAUCUUAUCUGGGAUUCCUCCACUUCUCCCCCCCCCCUUCAAACAAGAGAGAGAAGAAAACAAAGAAGAAUAAGAGACGACAAUAGCCUUUGAACCACGGGAUCAGAGUUUGUCAGCACAAUGGAAAUGGAAUGAAAUUUCUUUUCAUCUUACGGGUUUCCGAAGACCCAUCUAAUCUUUCUGUUAUACCAUUUCUCUCCUUUAUACUCCUAUUCUAAAAAGACACAAGCAUUUUGAAUCAAUAAAAGGGUAUACUUUAGAUCUUGGUAAUAGCUGAAUAAAUAAAAGUGUAAUUGAGGUUAUUUUUGGAAAAUGAGAUUGUGAGAUUAAAAGUGAAAAGCUAGAAGAAAAUAUUUGGAAACUAACUAAAAGGUCUUUCUUUCAGAUGUAUGCAGGGGAUAAAAACAAGUUGUCUUUUUUAAAUGUCGAAAUUUGGGGAACAGUUCAACACAGUGAAUGGGCUUUUCUUUGGUGUAAGGCCUUGGUGAUCUCUUGGCAUCAUUUGUAUAUGUGAUAAAAAAAAAAGGCUUUGAAUGGGAAUAAUUUUGUACUAGACAUCUGGAAACAUUUUCGUUCUAAAGUGAUACUAGUAAGUAAAAAAUGGUAAGUACAAGGAAAAAAUACUUUUUGUUUUGUUUUUGCUUGUAUUCUAAAACUGUUGAAUUUCACAUCCUAGAUGAGUAGAAGUAAUAAUUCUAUUCCAUAUUUGUGAACUGUGAAAAUUAUUUCAAAGUAAUGUUAAGUAUGUAAAAAAAAAUUUUUUUUGCAUGUCUCGUUUCCUUAUGGACUUGAAUUACCUGGAACCUUUCCUUGAACAGAAAAGAUUUAUUUCUUUACAGAAGAGAUCUUCACUUCUGUUUGAAUUGCUUUUGAAGUCCCAUUUGGUGGAAUGAAAAGACUUAACACUAACUGGAUUAAACAAGUUUACUUGUCAGAUUGGUAUGUGGAUAAAAGAGAAGAAUAAAAUAGUUCAUUGUAGUACAUAACAUGAUACAUCUUAAAGCGGUUUGAAAUUUUUCCAGCCUUCACUAAUGAACAUAUGGGGUGUGACUAUAAAAUAAUGAAACUAUUUUCUUCCUGGUAUUUGUGGAGACAGUCUUAUUUCUUUAUAGUCAUAAAUGUUUUGUUGGUAUGACAGCUAAAAGAAGCCAUGAUGAAUUCUUUCAUCUAAUGUCUUUUUUGCCUUUGAAAAAGUGUUAUGGUAUACUUGUGGUAGUUUAACAUCAGUUACACAAUUGAGGAGACAAUGAGACUGCUCCUUUGGGAAAAGCCAUUGUUUACAGAUGUCUGUUCACUUGGGAAAUCUUCCUUUUGUGGCUGAGUUCUAUAUGAAUUAAUUCUUCAAAACUGCUGUUCAUUUUUUUUCCUAAUUUAUUUAGGACAUAAAGACAAUAGUUCAAAAUAGCUAAUCUUCAUUUUAGAAACUUGUUUCUCCCUGAGCCUCAUGGAACAUCCUAAAUGAAAUUACAACUUUAUUUUUAAAACCAGUGUCAGAAUCCUUGAUUAUUAUAAUUAUAAUGUUUUGAUGAAAUUUUGCCUAGUUUUUCGAUUGUACUGAUUUAGGUUUCACUGUCAUUCCAUUAUGUGGAAUGGAUUUGAUGUCUUAAGGAAUAUUAUUGAAAUAUAACUUUGCUACUUAUGAAUUCUAGCCUAAUUGAUUAGGAAAACUGUUUAAAAGAGAAAAAGUUUCUAUUUCCCAGUAUUUUUGCAUUGGAUGAAAAAGCUUAAUACAGACCGGUACAUAUAUGAAGCUAAGAUUUUAUUGGAGCACAGUACAAGCAGCAUUCAAAAAAAUCCCUUGACUUUAACAAUUUAAAAUGUAAUCUAUUAAAAUGGAAAAGCUUAGUACUAAAGAGCAAGGUGCGUUAGGACCAAGUAUACCAUUUUUCAUCUUUAUGUAACACAUUUCCUUGUUGACAAAUACAGUAGGAACCCUUGUGAUUUCAGUGAGUCAGUUACAUAUUCUCAAUUGCCCAUACUAUACAUUCUUUAAUUCAGGAAUAAUUGAUUCUUAAAAAUCAAGGCACUAAAAGGAAACUUACUUGUGUAUUCAGGUUAUUGGUCUAUAAGCUGAGAUUGUAUAUAUUAUAGAGAUAUUUUUCAGGCACUGGUUGGACUGAAUGAUAUAAUUGGAACUAUAUGGUGCUAGGACAAUUAGUCAUUGCCCAGAUAGCGUAGAAGAAAUAUUUUAAUCUUAAUUGCCAGUCCCCUGGCAUCUGGUGGUUGGUUACUGUAUGGGCUUCCACUUCUAGCCAUAACCAAAAAGAAAUAAAGGAAAAAGCCACACUCUCAUGCUAUCUUUAAAUAGUAGUGAGAUGUCAGCAAAGAAAAAGAGCUCUUCAUUCCAAAGUGUUCUAAGGACUUAUUUUAUAUCAGAGACAUUUCUGUCAUCUUCCUCUGUAUAUAAAGCAAAACUUCAUACCUCCCAUUUGCAAGUAUUUAUAGCACCUGUGUGUUAUGUCCAUUUUAUAUAUUAAGGUAAGUGGCUUUUUAAAGUUAAUGUCUUUUAGCAAAGAAUCAAAUUUUUUUUUUGUUACUAUCUCAGUGUCAAAUUUGUUAGUGGUUCCCCACUUCAUCCCCCAUAAUAGUGCAAAUCUAAUUGGUAAUGGAAAUGUUUUAUUUUUCAGGUAUAAUGAAGUCAAGCCCAAUAGAAUUUGAAAAACUGAAAAUGAAGAAAGUUUUUUUUUUAAAUUUGUAUACAUGAGAAAGGUUUUAGAUUGUGUGAACUUUUGAGAAAAUGUUAAGAUUUAUGCAGUUUCGUUAUUAUAUUGUCUGCAUCUGACAUUGGCAGAAAUCACUGGAUUUCAAGUUGGGACUUGACUUACAUUUGUGUGAACCUAGUGAAGUCACUUAACCUUUCUGGGCCUGUUUUUACUUCAAAAUGAAAUUUGAUUGGAUGAUCUAAGAAUGGCAGGGAUAGAAAAUUAAGUAGUUUAUGUAACUACACUUGCCCUAAUGUCUAGAUAGUUGUUAUUGCUUAAUCCUAAUUAGUUAAUUGUAAAUCUGGCAAAUGAAAUUACAGUCUAAGAAAGAUGCAGAACUUUAGAAUUUUUAAUAUCAAAUGUGUGCUGAUUUUUUAGUUUGACCUAGUUCUAUGAUCUUGGCUAUUGAAAGUUUUGAAUUUGUUUCAGAUCUACCCCAAGUACCAGAGUCAUAAUCUCUUACACGAUUUACCUGAAAUUAUAAAACAAAUUCUUUGUUUAGGUUUCUAGGCCUAAUGUUAGAAAGCAAAGAACCAGAUCACAAAUUCUAGCUUUGGUAGCUACAUCAUCUUUGGCAGGUUACUAGACAUAUUCGUCCUUCAAACAAGGGAUUAGGACUAAAUGUCACCAAGGUAGUUGUUAGCUCGGAAUCCUAUGGCUUAUAUUACUAAGAGUUUAUCAACAUUAAAGUGAUCAAAAUUAAAACUACCUUAGGGAGGUGUGGAAAUACUUUGUGCAAAAUGCCAGCCUAAACAAUUCUGUUGAGUUGGAAUAGCUAACCAACCUAAAGUGCAUAAAAAAAGAGUAUUGAGUCCAUGUUUCAGUAAUAUAGAGGGUCUAAGAAGUUAAUUGAAGCAUGGAUUAAAGGUGUUUGGGGUAGACUGGGAAGAGAAGUAUUUAUUUGUUAAGGAGUUCGGGUUUGAAUAUUAAAUUUCAAAAAUAUCAAUCCAGGUAAUUAUCCUGAGUUGGUUGUCUUCUCCAUAAAGCAACUGCGGUAUUCUAACCAAAUUUCCCAAGUGAAAAUGUGAAAUUAUCAGUAUCCUUCUAGGAGUCCACACAUCCUCUGAAAAGUUGGAAAAUGUUAAGUCUUCAAAGUUAAGAAUACGGCAUGUUUAGAAUCUAGUCAUAAGGAAGUAAAGUUAUGAAAGCUGUUAGUUUGGGAAAUUAAGCUAAUUUGCUAAAUGUUAGUGGUACACUUUCAAUUUCCUUGAAAGAGCAGCUAGGGUGGAGAUACUCCCUCUCAAAGUGUUAAACCUAAUGGUUGUGGGAGGAAAAUUAUAUAAUUGUUUCACUUAAGAAAAAAAAGAAAAAUUUUCCCACAGUAUUUUCUUGGGCUUAAAUUUAAGAGAAAGAUACAGUCUUGGGAUUUUGUGGUGGUUUCAAAUGAAGCACAGUACUGGUUGAAUUUCAAAUAUCUCUGCCCUGGGAUAAGGCAUCCUUAGCAAGUAGCAACAAAAUUGUAACAAAAUGGAACAGGUAAUUAAUGUUUGGUUUUUUUAAUUUUUUUUUUUAACAUUUUUUUUUCUAUUUAACAGGUAUGGCUAAAAGGCUGGCGCUGACAAAGAUUAUAGACAACAAUGGCAUAUGAACAACAGAAGUUAUCUUUCUGAAUAAAGUUAUUGAGGGAAAUGGCAGUUUAAAAAAACAAAGCACGAGAAUAUUAACACAUAAACAGAUUGCAUCUGCAGUGGCUAAAAAAAAAUGUAUAUGAUACCCUUCAAAGUCUUAGACUAGCACAAUAUUUGAGUGUGGAUCUGGAAUGUUUCUCCUUGAAUUAGCUUUAGUUUGAAUCCUUAUGACAAUACUCUUACAUCUGAAUUUGGAGAGUAGCCUAUUGAUUAACUUGGAUUAGUCACCCAAUGAUUUAAUGACCAAUAUCCUGAGUAAUUCCAAAGGUCUUAACAUUUGAAUUGGGGGGUUUUGUUUUCAAAAAUAGAUCAUAUUGGGAGAAAAGCAUUAGAUUCACAGUUUUACCUGUACCCAAAGCAACUUUGCCAUGACACAUGAAUUGGCAGAUUACCUAAAUAUUUUGGACUUCAGUUUCCUCAUUUAAGAAGUUACAAUAUUUUUUUAGAGUGAGAUUAACUGUAGAAACUGGGGCCACAAUUCUAAUCUGACCAGUAAUUACUUAGCCUCAAUAUAUUGCUUAAGAUUAUGCUUUUCUAAGUAAAUAGUGAUAUAUGGUUAAUAGGAUAAACACUGAAGUGGGGGGGAAAAGUGUUCUGGAGGCAGUCAAUUUCAAAAUAACAUUUUGUAGGGUUAUAUUACACAUUUAUAAAUUAAUAGAAUUAGUUUGGGUAAAGUUAAACCUCUGUUCAAGGAAUUGUAUGUUACACCAAAUUUUAAAAUAUUUUCACUAUAUUCUAGUAA
Long non-coding RNA from Sarcophilus harrisii (Tasmanian devil), 5566 nucleotides. RefSeq lists it as uncharacterized. Lineage: Eukaryota; Metazoa; Chordata; Mammalia; Dasyuromorphia; Dasyuridae. The transcript has 2 exons. The record is from RefSeq and is a predicted model, not a curated record.